CUGGUCUGUAACUGACGCUGAGGCUCGAAAGCGUGGGGAGCGAACAGGAUUAGAUACCCUGGUAGUCCACGCCGUAAACGAUGAGUGCUAAGUGUUGGAGGGUUUCCGCCCUUCAGUGCUGCAGCAAACGCAUUAAGCACUCCGCCUGGGGAGUACGACCGCAAGGUUGAAACUCAAAGGAAUUGACGGGGGCCCGCACAAGCGGUGGAGCAUGUGGUUUAAUUCGAAGCAACGCGAAGAACCUUACCAGGUCUUGACAUCCUUUGACCACUCUAGAGAUAGAGCUUCCCCUUCGGGGGCAAAGUGACAGGUGGUGCAUGGUUGUCGUCAGCUCGUGUCGUGAGAUGUUGGGUUAAGUCCCGCAACGAGCGCAACCCUUAUUGUUAGUUGCCAUCAUUUAGUUGGGCACUCUAGCGAGACUGCCGGUGACAAACCGGAGGAAGGUGGGGAUGACGUCAAAUCAUCAUGCCCCUUAUGACCUGGGCUACACACGUGCUACAAUGGGAAGUACAACGAGUUGCGAAGUCGCGAGGCUAAGCUAAUCUCUUAAAGCUUCUCUCAGUUCGGAUUGUAGGCUGCAACUCGCCUACAUGAAGCCGGAAUCGCUAGUAAUCGCGGAUCAGCACGCCGCGGUGAAUACGUUCCCGGGCCUUGUACACAC
Molecule: ribosomal RNA, 661 nt
Filed under: uncultured bacterium
Lineage: Bacteria
Description: bacterial SSU rRNA
Rfam family: Bacterial small subunit ribosomal RNA
Source: RNAcentral